This is a long non-coding RNA of Callithrix jacchus (white-tufted-ear marmoset), 1440 nucleotides long. RefSeq lists it as uncharacterized. NCBI's taxonomy places the organism in Eukaryota, Metazoa, Chordata, Mammalia, Primates, Cebidae. The record is from RefSeq and is a predicted model, not a curated record.
AUCCUAGGGAAAAGACACGGGAAAAUGUGUGUGGUCUAACGUGCAGGAGAAAAGGCCACAACAGCGAGAGGACCUCACUAAGCUGAGCUCCUUGAGCGACUCAUAUCCAGCCUGGUGUCGUGUGAACUCAACGCUAAAUCCACAGCUUGCUUCCUCCUCCCUCUCAGUCAACGUUCCCCUUCCCUAACUGUGGAAUUAGAGUCCCCACCGCACUGAGGAAGCACUGGCUCGGGAUACAGCCAUUGCUCAAGGGAGAACCCGUGCCAGCUGGGAAGGGUUCAGAACACAGCCUUGUCUUCCUGUGAACACGAAUGUGCUGUCACUGAACCUCUCAUACUAGCAGUAGGGAAGAGAGGCAGCUGCAGUACUUUGGCCCAAAUUACAGAGGAUGUCAAAUGACAAGCAGUUGUGGCUAUGUAAUUCUGGUCAGAGCCUCCCACUCCUAAUUGCCUGCAGUUUCAAGGGAAACCAUUAUUUACUCCUUUCAGAUGCUGGAGUGCCAGAGCCGGCAGGCGAGCAGAGUUCCAAGAGUGGACGGUUGGCAUUCAGCACACUACUUAAGAAGAGCCUGGGGAAUGGAAUUAAGCCUUGGGCAUGUUGGGUCUCACUUUGUCUACCAGGCUGGAGUGCAGUGGUGCAAUCACGGCUCAUUGCAGCCUCGACCUCCUGGGCUCAGGGGAUCCUCCCACCUCAGGCUCCGGAGCAGCUGGGACUUCAGGAACCAAAUAUAUGGUCCAGUGGAGGGAGAGAAGAGGCACACUCAAAGCAAAGGACUGCGCAAGGGGAAACCAUGGCUGCUCAGCGUGGAAAUGAGAGCCAUGACUAUGUGAGGUGGAAGCAGGCGCUGAGGAAGAAGGAGGAACUCACAGCUUGAGCUCAGUGUCCAGGAAACAGUACAUCCUUAUAGUUUCUUCUCUGUGCUGCCAGUGCUGGGAGUCUUCAGUCUUUCUCCUUUAUCGUCUGGCCUCCUGGUGGAUUCUUCAGUUGGGGACUCUAGAAGGAGAUGGAAGACAGGAGGAAAGAAGUUUCUGGGUCAUUGGUGAGACUGAAUUUCAUAGAAAAGUCUUUGCUACAGCAAAACCUCUCUGCAAGCAAUACAUUAUCCAAGCUGCUGGAGGCCAGAUUGACCAGAAAAAUGGGACCAAUAACAUGGUAAAGGAUCUUCAACACUAGCCUUCAGCUCCUCAGGGUCCAGUGUGCUUGAAAAACAAUAAAUAUUUUAACUCUUACUUUCACCAGCCUAGAGGGGAGAGAGAGAGAGAGUUGUGAACAAAGGACCCCUGAGUGACAUGGCUCCUGUGUGGGAGAACUCUCCUAGCUUUGUGACUGAGGUGGGGGCCUGGUCUGGGCACUGCUUAUUAUUACCAUUUUAAUUUUUAAAGCAAAUUUUUGAGGAAAGACCCUGAAGACCAAUGGUUGUUGCUUGGCCACUGAAAAAUA